GACGAACGCUGGCGGCGUGCUUAACACAUGCAAGUCGAACGGAAAGGCCCUGCUUUUGUGGGGUGCUCGAGUGGCGAACGGGUGAGUAACACGGGAGUAACCUGCCCUUGACUUUGGGAUAACUUCAGGAAACUGGGGCUAAUACCGGAGAGGAGCUCCUGCUGCAGGGUGGGGGUUGGAAAGUUUCGGCGGUUGGGGAUGGACUCGCGGCUUAUCAGCUGGUUGGUGGGGUAGUGGCUUACCAAGGCUUUGACGGGUAGCCGGCCUGAGAGGGUGACCGGCCACAUUGGGACUGCGAUACGGCCCAGACUCCUACGGGAGGCAGCAGUGGGGAAUAUUGCACAAUGGGCGGAAGCCUGAUGCAGCAACGCCGCGUGCGGGAUGACGGCCUUCGGGUUGUAAACCGCUUUCGCCUGUGACGAAGCGUGAGUGACGGUAAUGGGUAAAGAAGCACCGGCUAACUACGUG
RNAcentral lists this ribosomal RNA (468 nucleotides) under uncultured bacterium. Its description in RNAcentral is "partial 16S ribosomal RNA". It matches the Rfam family "Bacterial small subunit ribosomal RNA", at positions 28 to 507 of the family's 1533-position model. The record is from RNAcentral.